This 1904-nucleotide long non-coding RNA is filed under the name Homo sapiens (human). Its description in RNAcentral is "HSALNT0290411". Lineage: Eukaryota; Metazoa; Chordata; Mammalia; Primates; Hominidae. The record is from RNAcentral.
AAGGCCAGAGUUAUAGGCAGGUAAAGGGAGAGGAAGGGGCUGCCCAUUGGAACCAUUGUUCUCAAUGCAUUUCUAUUGUUCUGCUGCAGGUCACUGUCCUCGGAAGCUGACCCUUGUGGUCAUAGCCCAAGGUGGUACCAUAAUUCCAACAAGAGCCAACACUUAUUCUUCCUGUGUGGCCAGAGCUGAGCUAAGCAUGUUCUAUGCCUCAUCUCAUUAAUCCUCACAAAAUCCUAUGAGAUGAGGAAACUGAGGUUCGGAAGUGGCUUGCCCAAGGUUUCACCGUGACUGACAGAGCUGGGCCGAAAAGCCAAGCAUUUGGAGGCCUCCCCACUCUCACUGUCUCAGAUGAAAUGCGCCUGCCCCAGGGUUGUCUGGGGAAACAAACAGGAGGUUGUGCUUGUAUCUUAAUAAGCAUGAAAUGCCUCUUCCACCACCGCUCACCGCAGGAUUUGAUGUGUCCUUGUGUUUACAGAUAAGCCAGUCAAGAGGGCAAUGGGAAUUAUUUGAGGGUACGUAUGUGGAUGUACCCCUGGAAAAACAUGUCAUUAUACUUAUGGGUUUAUGUCAUUAGGAAAAAAUGUCAUAAUGUGAUUAACACUCAUAAUCUCAUUAUGGUCAUAAGGUCAUUAUUACUCAUCCCUUCCUAGAAUCUUCCAAACCUCUGGUGAUUUCACAAGGGAAGGGCGGGAACUCUGUUCCUCUUGGUGGCUACUGUCAUUGGAUCUCUGACCCUUGGAGUCUAUGUCAAAGGAGACCCGCCCUCAUUCAGGUUCUGAGCAGCAAGACCUAAUGGCACAGGGGACAGCUUUUGCUAUGGGGCAUGGAGGGUCUGAUGAGGGCUCCAGGGGUCUCAGGUCACAGAGGAAAAUGCUGUUCUGAACUCUAGCCUUGGGCCACACAGAAGAUGUCACAUGGUCUCUGUAACUUUCUCUCCAUCAUAGGGACAGUGACAACAACUAACACAGCACCUACCCCAUUCUGGGCUUCCUAUGGAUUAUCUCCUUUAAUCCUCGUGACAACUCUGUGAUAUGAAAAAAGUGCUGCAUGGAGAGACCUAGUAAUGUGUCCAAGGUGUCACAGUCAUUAAGUGGGAGAGCUGACAUUUGAUCCCAGGCAGGCGUCAGCCUAUGCCAUCCCGUCUCUCCAAGGCAGCCACACACCCUGGGAUGACAGAUGGGGAAACUGAGGCCCAGAGAGGCGUAACCUGGCCCAGAGUCCCACCGUUAGUGAGAAACCAGAACUACAAGCCAGGACUCCUGACUGUAGGCCUCUAUUAUUUUCCCCAAUACCUCCUAGAGCUUAUUAUAAAUCGGAUGGGAGAAGGGAUCACUCCUGGUAGGGAGUCACGCCGACCCGGCAGAAACUCCGGUGAGUUCCAGCUGUGAUGAGCAGAGGUCACGGACAAAGAAGAGGAUAAGUGAACAACGUUGCAGAACCUUGUGGGCCUUUAUAAUUCAUCUAUAAUUCAGAAUUAGCUUUCACUGAGCACUUACUAAGUGCCAGGCCCUUUGGUAAAUCAACUCAUUGAAUUCACACUAAAUUCUGUUACUCCAUUUUUCUGCAGGUGAUGGUAUUGAAGCUUUGAGAAGUCAGUUAAGUUGUUCAAGGGAACCCAAUUCCAGAUCCAGAGGCCACAUGUAGUUUCCCCAAGAGGGCAGAGAUUGGGCCUUCCCCUCCUCUUCAUCCUCCCUCAGUGCCUGCCUGGCACAGACACUCCAUCCAUGCCAUGUACUGACAUUGAUGGGCCAACACACUGAACCAUUGAUUGACUACAGCUUGUGUCUCAGCCAGUAUAGUGGUUAUUUGCAAGGCUGCUUUAUGUAGCAUGGUUCAGGCCAUUUGAGCCCCCAGCUCAGAAAUGAGCACCAGCUGGUGAGCAGGCCAAGCGCCCAGGGAAAGGC